AUUCAGCUGACGAGUCCCAAAUGGGACGAAAUGCGCGUCCUGGAU
Molecule: non-coding RNA, 45 nt
Filed under: Schistosoma mansoni
Lineage: Eukaryota; Metazoa; Platyhelminthes; Trematoda; Strigeidida; Schistosomatidae
Source: RNAcentral